This 497-nucleotide ribosomal RNA is filed under the name uncultured bacterium. Its description in RNAcentral is "partial 16S ribosomal RNA". It matches the Rfam family "Bacterial small subunit ribosomal RNA", at positions 28 to 507 of the family's 1533-position model. The record is from RNAcentral.
GAUGAACGCUGGCGGCGUGCCUAAUACAUGCAAGUCGAGCGAACAGAUGAGGAGCUUGCUCCUCUGACGUUAGCGGCGGACGGGUGAGUAACACGUGGAUAACCUACCUAUAAGACUGGGAUAACUUCGGGAAACCGGAGCUAAUACCGGAUAAUAUAUUGAACCGCAUGGUUCAAUAGUGAAAGACGGUUUUGCUGUCACUUAUAGAUGGAUCCGCGCCGCAUUAGCUAGUUGGUAAGGUAACGGCUUACCAAGGCAACGAUGCGUAGCCGACCUGAGAGGGUGAUCGGCCACACUGGAACUGAGACACGGUCCAGACUCCUACGGGAGGCAGCAGUGGGGAAUCUUCCGCAAUGGGCGAAGGCCUGACGGAGCAACGCCGCGUGAGUGAUGAAGGUCUUCGGAUCGUAAAACUCUGUUAUUAGGGAAGAACAAAUGUGUAAGUAACUAUGCACGUCUUGACGGUACCUAAUCAGAAAGCCACGGCUAACUACGUG